AGGGAAUCUUCCACAAUGGACGAAAGUCUGAUGGAGCAACGCCGCGUGAGUGAAGAAGGUUUUCGGAUCGUAAAGCUCUGUUGUUGGUGAAGAAGGAUAGAGGUAGUAACUGGCCUUUAUUUGACGGUAAUCAACCAGAAAGUCACGGCUAACUACGUGACAGCAGCCGCGGUAAUACGUAGGUGGCAAGCGUUGUCCGGAUUUAUUGGGCGUAAAGCGAGCGCAGGCGGAAGAAUAAGUCUGAUGUGAAAGCCCUCGGCUUAACCGAGGAACUGCAUCGGAAACUGUUUUUCUUGAGUGCAGAAGAGGAGAGUGGAACUCCAUGUGUAGCGGUGGAAUGCGUAGAUAUAUGGAAGAACACCAGUGGCGAAGGCGGCUCUCUGGUCUGCAACUGACGCUGAGGCUCGAAAGCAUGGGUAGCGAACAGG
This 428-nucleotide ribosomal RNA is filed under the name uncultured bacterium. RNAcentral describes it as "bacterial SSU rRNA". It matches the Rfam family "Bacterial small subunit ribosomal RNA", at positions 356 to 776 of the family's 1533-position model. The record is from RNAcentral.